UGGGGGAUAUUGCACAAUGGGCGAAAGCCUGAUGCAGCGACGCCGCGUGGGGGAUGAAGGCCUUCGGGUUGUAAACUUCUUUUGCUCUGAACAAGGCGCACCAUGGGGUGUGUUGAGUGUAGGGGUUGAUUAGCGCCGGCUAACUACGUGCCAGCAGCCGCGGUAAUACGUAGGUCGCGAGCGUUGUCCGGAAUUAUUGGGCGUAAAGGGCUUGUAGGUGGCUGGUUGCGUCUGUCGUGAAAGCUCAUGGCUUAACUGUGGGUUUGCGGUGGGUACGGGCUGGCUUGAGUGCAGUAAGGGAGGCUGUAAUUCCUGGUGUGGCGGUGGAAUGCGCAGAUAUCAGGAGGAAUACCGGUGGCGAAGGCGGGUCUCUGGGCUGUUACUGACACUGAGGAGCGAAAGCAUGGGGAGCGAACAGG
RNAcentral lists this ribosomal RNA (419 nucleotides) under bacterium. RNAcentral describes it as "partial 16S ribosomal RNA". It matches the Rfam family "Bacterial small subunit ribosomal RNA", at positions 355 to 776 of the family's 1533-position model. The record is from RNAcentral.